GACGAACGCUGGCGGCGUGCUUAACACAUGCAAGUCGAGCGGUAAGGCCCUUUCGGGGGUACACGAGCGGCGAACGGUGAGUAACACGUGGGUGACCUGCCCUCAGCGUCUGGGAUAAGACCUGGGAAACUAGGGUCUAAUACCGGAUAUGACUCCAUGACGCAUGUUGUGGGGUGGAAAGCCUUGUGCGGCUGAGGAUGGGCCCGCGGCCUAUCAGCUUGUUGGUGGGGUGAUGGCCUACCAAGGCGACGACGGGUAGCCGGCCUGAGAGGGCGACCGGCCACACUGGGACUGAGACACGGCCCAGACUCCUACGGAGGCAGCAGUGGGGAAUCUUGCGCAAUGGGCGAAAGCCUGAUCCAGCGAUGCCGCGUGUGUGAAGAAGGCCUGCGGG
Molecule: ribosomal RNA, 394 nt
Filed under: uncultured bacterium
Lineage: Bacteria
Description: bacterial SSU rRNA
Rfam family: Bacterial small subunit ribosomal RNA
Source: RNAcentral